GCUCCUGAGGUAGCCAGGGAUCCAAGAAAGGGGUGAUUUCCUCUAGCACUUUGUCAACUGGCAAGGGACCGAGGACAGAAGAGGCUACCCUCUCCAGUAGGGGAUACUCUAGAGGGCCCAGACUUAGCUCUAUCCUACAGGUAACAUUCCUGUCUUAACAAAGAGGCCCCGGUGCCUGUGCUGAGCUUCUAGAAUGCUGCCUCCAUGACUCACAGAAGGGAAUGGAGCCUCACAGAUUCAGAGCCUGUGAGAACCUCUGUUUCCAGGAGACCUCAGUAUGCAGUCAUCAAUUGCCAUUCUGAGGGUGUAUAGCAUGGGACUGAAGAGGGCAGUUUCUCAUACCAGAAAUUCAUGGGCAACUUAUGAUCAUCAUGGGUGGUCUAGAGAUUUCAGGAGGUAUGAGAGGAAGCUGCUAAAGCCUCUGGAGUAAAUGAUUCUCUGGGGGCAGGGGGAGGGGACAUUGAUGGGAGUGACUGUGGUAUUACAAUUUGGACAGAUUCUAGAGCUCUUUGUUAUAAGGAGGCCCCAAUUCAAGAUGGGUCAAUUUGUGAGUAGCAGCAUAAAUAGGAUUAAGAAAAAUUUGUAAAUGAGGAAUACGUUGCUUCCAGAUCCCCAAAAGGCCUAAAAGAUCCUGAACUUGUUUUCACAUUGUGCAUGCAGAGAGGAUCAACUGCUAUUUAUCAGCAAUGUCAGAGAUGCAGAAGCCCUUAGCUUACCAAAUAAUUUUCAGGAAUUUAAUCAACGUGGCAGGGCCUUGUACUACGUACAGGGAAAUGCCGAUUGCCUUUUUAUGAGCUCCUUGGUGAAAAUUUGUAUGUCCUCAACGAGUAUGUCAAAUGCACCUCUUCAGAGGAUGAUAUCAUCGCUGUGAUGUUCUAUCUGUGCUCCUGGAGGAAGCUGGAUGUGGUUAAGAUCUAGCCUGGGAAGACUGUGAGCAAUGGCAGGAAUGCUGAAGUACCACACGAGGAGCUAGGUAUGGAUAUACUGUGUCCCUUUGAAGGUGAGGCUGUUGCAAAAGUCACUGAACAGAAGAACCUAACAGUAAAACCUCAGACUGCAAAGUAUUUACCAGUUGCUGACUGCUGUAAAACCUCUGGAUGGAGGCCAGAACUGGCAUUCUCAACCACAGCUAAGCAAUAAUAGGGCAAUAGCCACAGAGUACACACCUAUAGAGCUGCCGUGGUCAUUCACGGCUGGGGCACAUUCUGACCGUUCAGGACCCACGUCACACUGGUUGUUAAUGAACUAGAAUCUCACACUGCUCAAUCUCUCAAGCCCAGUCUCCAAACCAUCCUGUGACGGCAGCAAUGAGGACGGCAGGAGCCUAUAGCUCCCAGAGAGUAGGGCAAAUAGCCCUUGCUUGAUUUCUCUCUCUGUCCUCCCACCUUAAGCCCUGACAUUGGAAAAAUCUAAAGCUCAGCUUUCUGGCUGGGGGAAUGCAACAGAGAAGUCCAAAAGAACCCAAAAGUACCAAGGAGAUCAUAGAAAGGAGGAAGCUCGGGAAAGCAAACUUUUACAGCUGUUGUAAACUUGUGGGCCCAUGCCCAAGGUGCACAGCUUAAAAACUGACACCUGCAUGAAACCUUCGUUAUUUGCUGCAGCUGCAAGAGAGUAAUCUCACCUUUUUCAAAAUCAUGAUGCACCUUCUACCUGUGAUUCUGUACCAAUUAUACAAGGAACUAUCUCACCUUCAUUAUUAAUAAGACUUCAAAUCCUUGUAAUGAAAUACAAGGGAUCUCUCUGUAUUAUUUCUUACAAUUGCAUGUAAAUCUACAAUUAUCUUGAAAAAAGUAUUCAACUAAAGAAAACCUUCACAGAGAGAAACGAGGCCUCCAACAGUGCUGGUGCCCCUGCCCCAUCCCACCUUGCCCCGUACAGCGUAAGGAAACAAUAAAUACUUGAGGAAUGACGGAACAAAA
Non-coding RNA from Equus caballus (horse), 1919 nucleotides. The record is from RefSeq and is a predicted model, not a curated record. NCBI's taxonomy places the organism in Eukaryota, Metazoa, Chordata, Mammalia, Perissodactyla, Equidae.